This 421-nucleotide ribosomal RNA is filed under the name uncultured bacterium. Its description in RNAcentral is "bacterial SSU rRNA". It matches the Rfam family "Bacterial small subunit ribosomal RNA", at positions 355 to 774 of the family's 1533-position model. The record is from RNAcentral.
UAAGGAAUAUUGGUCAAUGGACGCAAGUCUGAACCAGCCAUGCCGCGUGAAGGAUGAAGGUCCUCUGGAUUGUAAACUUCUUUUAUCUGGGACGAAAACGGGAUUUUUAUCUCAAUUGACGGUACCAGAGGAAUAAGCACCGGCUAACUCCGUGCCAGCAGCCGCGGUAAUACGGAGGGUGCAAGCGUUAUCCGGAUUCACUGGGUUUAAAGGGUGCGUAGGUGGGCAGGUAAGUCAGUGGUGAAAUCUCCGGGCUUAACCCGGAAACUGCCGUUGAUACUAUUUGUCUUGAAUAUUGUGGAGGUAAGCGGAAUAUGUCAUGUAGCGGUGAAAUGCUUAGAUAUGACAUAGAACACCAAUUGCGAAGGCAGCUUACUACACAAUCAUUGACGCUGAGGCACGAAAGCGUGGGGAUCAAACA